Non-coding RNA from Salmo salar (Atlantic salmon), 54 nucleotides. Lineage: Eukaryota; Metazoa; Chordata; Actinopteri; Salmoniformes; Salmonidae. The record is from Rfam.
UGAAUUCACUACUGUAAGUCGCUCUGGAUAAGAGCGUCUGCUAAAUGAAUAAAU